Molecule: ribosomal RNA, 447 nt
Filed under: uncultured bacterium
Lineage: Bacteria
Description: bacterial SSU rRNA
Rfam family: Bacterial small subunit ribosomal RNA
Source: RNAcentral
ACUCCUACGGGAGGCAGCAGUGGGGAAUAUUGCACAAUGGAGGAAACUCUGAUGCAGCAACGCCGCGUGGAGGAUGACACUUUCGGAGCGUAAACUCCUUUAUAUAGGAAGAUAAUGACGGUACUAUAUGAAUAAGCACCGGCUAACUCCGUGCCAGCAGCCGCGGUAAUACGGAGGUGCAAGCGUUACUCGGAAUCACGUGGGCGUAAAGAGCGUGUAGGCGGGUUAUUAAGUCAGAAGUGAAAUCCUAUGGCUCAACCAUAGAACUGCUUUUGAAACUGGUAACCUAGAGUAUGGGAGAGGUAGAUGGAAUUUCUGGUGUAGGGUAAAAUCCGUAGAGAUCAGAAGGAAUACCGAUUGCGAAGGCGAUCUACUGGAACAUUACUGACGCUGAGACGCGAAAGCGUGGGGAGCGAAACAGGAUUAGAUACCCGUGGUAGACUGUCA